CGAUGAGGGGGAGUAACUACUGGAAACGGUAGCUAAUACCGCAUAACGUCGCAAGACCAAAGAGGGGGACCUUCGGGCCUCUUGCCAUCGGAUGUGCCCAGAUGGGAUUAGCUAGUAGGUGGGGUAACGGCUCACCUAGGCGACGAUCCCUAGCUGGUCUGAGAGGAUGACCAGCCACACUGGAACUGAGACACGGUCCAG
RNAcentral lists this ribosomal RNA (201 nucleotides) under uncultured bacterium. RNAcentral describes it as "partial 16S ribosomal RNA". It matches the Rfam family "Bacterial small subunit ribosomal RNA", at positions 131 to 334 of the family's 1533-position model. The record is from RNAcentral.